RNAcentral lists this ribosomal RNA (442 nucleotides) under uncultured bacterium. RNAcentral describes it as "bacterial SSU rRNA". It matches the Rfam family "Bacterial small subunit ribosomal RNA", at positions 32 to 484 of the family's 1533-position model. The record is from RNAcentral.
AAUCAACGCUGGCGGCGUGCCUAACACAUGCAAGUCGAACGAGAAAGUGGAGCAAUCCAUGAGUAAAGUGGCGACCGGGUGAGUAACACGUGACCAAUCUACCCUUGAGUGGGGGAGUAACCUCGGGAACCGGGGCGUAAUACCGCAUAACAUCUUCGGGACGGAAGUACUGAAGAUCAAAGGAGCAAUUCGCUUAAGGAGGAGGUCGCGGCUGAUUAGCUAGUUGGCGGGGUAAUGGCCCACCAAGGCGAAGAUCGGUAGCCGGCCUGAGAGGGCGCACGGCCACACUGGAACUGAAACACGGUCCAGACUCCUACGGGAGGCAGCAGUGGGGAAUUUUGCGCAAUGGGGGAAACCCUAGACGCAGCAACGCCGCGUGGAGGAUGAAGUCCCUUGGGACGUAAACUCCUUUCGACCCGGACGAUAAUGACGGUACGGGUGG